AUUGAACGCUGGCGGCAUGCCUUACACAUGCAAGUCGAACGGUAACGGGCCUUCGGGUGCCGACGAGUGGCGAACGGGUGAGUAAUGCAUCGGAACGUACCUUUCAGUGGGGGAUAACGUAGCGAAAGUUACGCUAAUACCGCAUAUUCUGUGAGCAGGAAAGCAGGGGAUCGCAAGACCUUGCGCUGAUUGAGCGGCCGAUGUCAGAUUAGCUAGUUGGUGAGGUAAAGGCUCACCAAGGCGACGAUCUGUAGCGGGUCUGAGAGGAUGAUCCGCCACACUGGAACUGAGACACGGUCCAGACUCCUACGGGAGGCAGCAGUGGGAAUUUUGGACAAUGGGGGCAACCCUGAUCCAGCCAUGCCGCGUGAGUGAAGAA
This 379-nucleotide ribosomal RNA is filed under the name uncultured bacterium. RNAcentral describes it as "bacterial SSU rRNA". It matches the Rfam family "Bacterial small subunit ribosomal RNA", at positions 30 to 412 of the family's 1533-position model. The record is from RNAcentral.